CAACAUACUUAGGGGAUAUUUUUAAGGUUACAAAGGCUGCCUCAGUGUUGAAGAAACAAAAAAUGCUGUUAAUACCAUCUGUAAAACCUUUAUUUUUCUCCUAUGCUUUUGAAAUAUGAAUUGUUUAAGGAUGCAUCUACACCAGCAUUGACAUUCAGAUCAGUGAACUACGAAAUAGAAGACUGGAUAUCACAGGUGAGGUCUUCAGUUGCUGUGAAUCUAAAACCAGCUGUGUUGGCUCGAUGGUGAUUUUCAUCAGCAGAGACGUGUGCCUGCAGCUUUCCCUAGUGAACCAGGGUCCAAUUUGGAGAAAUGGAAAGCAAGAUACCUUUGGGAUCUUGGGCUACUGGAAGAUUAUGAACCCCUCCACUGGUGUGUUUAUUUCUGAUCAGCAAUGAGUCUGAAAUGAUCUCCAUAAAGAUCCAGAUCCCUGUGAGAGAGACGGAGAAACUGCAGCAUGGUACAAGCUACUAUUUUGCUAAAGGUGAAGCACUGGGACCUGGAGGUAUUGAGUUGCCCAGGGUCACGUGGGUUGUGGCAAAGUUAAGGUGCAGAGAUGUCUCAAUGUCUUUUACCUUUGUGGAGCAACAUCUUCCUUCUUACGUUGGUGUUGUGACAUAGCGGAGUGCUAGACAGCCCAACUGAAGAUCCAAAAUGACUCGACCGGAACCUUUUUGGGGAAGCAAUAUAUCUGGAGAGUAUACCUUGCCUAAAUUGUCUGCAGAGCUAGUGAAGAAGCGCCCUCCAGGAUGUCCCAGAAGCAGGAAGCUCCUGUCACUGUGUGCAGCCUCAGUUUGCUACCCAAAAGCAGUAUCUCUUCAUUAGCUGUGAAUGAGCCUCCCCUCUUCAUGUACCUGCUUUAUUCUCCUACCUCUUCCAGAGCACCUGAGAAGAGAGGAUUACAGAUCCUGGGGCCCAGAUUUACUCCUGACAGAGACCAGCUGAAGAAAACAUUGUCAAAUGCAAGCAGGGAUGAACUCGCACUGUCUCUGAUACAAAUGUUCACAGGAGGAUGUUGCAAGGAUGGUCUUAGCUCAGCACUCAACCUGGGAGUGACAAGGGAAAAUGUGGGGGGUUACAGGAGCAAUUGGGUGGCGAUGUUGAUAGGGACAUGGCAAGUUACCUUUUGCUCAAAUUCUUGUUGAUCCAGUUCCAGAGACAAUUCUUACUCAAUUUCUAUUUCAGAAAAGCUCAUCCGUGAACUAAGGAGCUUGUAUACACGUGUUUAUCUCGUUAUUGCCUUGCCAGUGGAAUAGACUCUUUCUGUCAUUGACCCCAUUGGAAGACAUUCCUUGGUGUGGUUGGUGGGAUGAACUUCCAUAAGCAUUCUCUUGCUUGCAGCUCUCAAUUCAAACCAAAAAGCCUCUAGUGGAAAAAGUUGAACGUGACUGGGUGUGCUCCAGCUGACGUGGGCUGGGGGCUGUUCACACUGGCAACAGAGUUGGCAAACUGAUGAGAGAUGAGCGAAUAACAUCCAAUCCCAGAGCUGUGUGAAGCUGCUUGGGGCGAGGGGUUGGCUGGAGGAAGGCAUAUGAUUAAGUGUGAUAUUAAAGCUGAAUGGAAGUGAAGGGUCUGACUGCUGAUUCCACAGAAGCACUGAAGAAAGAGUGAAUUCUCUAUAAGAUUUCCUGAGAGGUUUUUUGUUCCCCAGCAGGAAGGCUGCAGGACAUCUCAGUUAAAGGCUGGCCUAUCUGCAGAGACCAUGUGUGAUGGCUUUCCCAGAGCCAACGUCUGUUUCCCCCCCCAACUCCCCAGUAGCUUCCUGCCAGAGCUCCUUGCCUCCAAGGAUGUUGGCUUGGCAGGUUGCCUUGGUUCUCCCUGGAUCAUGGGAUCACUGGGUGAGUCAAUUUGGAAAGGUCUUCAGGAGGUCUCUGUCCAGCCUCCUGCUUCACACAUGAGCUCAUGCAGGGUUUCUCAGGGCUGUACUUGGGUUGUUGGAUAUUUACAUGUAUUAUAGCAGUAGAGACUGCUGCUCCUGUGGUCUGUUGUUUGAUUUGUGCUCUCUGGUUCCUUGGUUGGCCAAAGCCAAAGAUGGCUGACUGUCAAAUGCAGCAUCUUCUAGAUUGCUCAGGUAGGAGAAGCUGUGUUACCAAACUAAGCUGCCCCCAAGUUUCACGUUCAUUCUCCCCAGCAUGAGCUGUUUUGCAUCUUUCUCCCUCCUCCUUUCCCCUCUAACAAAGCUUUCUGUUUCUGUCUUACUGUCUUUGUG
Long non-coding RNA from Gallus gallus (chicken), 2209 nucleotides. Lineage: Eukaryota; Metazoa; Chordata; Aves; Galliformes; Phasianidae. The record is from Ensembl.